CCUACGGGUGGCAGCAGUGGGGAAUAUUGCGCAAUGGGCGAAAGCCUGACGCAGCGACGCCGCGUGAGGGAUGAAGGUCUUCGGAUCGUAAACCUCUGUCAGCAGGGAAGAACGGUCACUGUGCUAAUCAGCAGUGAAUUGACGGUUCCUGCACAGGAACCACCGGCUAACUCCGGGCCAGAAGCCGCGGUAAUACGGAGGGUGCGAGCGUUAAUCGGAAUUACUGGGCGUAAAGGGCUCGUAGGCGGUAUGUCAAGUCAAGGGUGAAAUCCCCGGGCUCAACGUGGGAACUGCCUUUGAAACUGGCGAGCUGGAGUGUGUGAGAGGAUAGUGGAAUUCCAGGUGUAGGAGUGAAAUCCGUAGAUAUCUGGAGGAACAUCAGUGGCGAAGGCGACUAUCUGGCACAUAACUGACGCUGAGGAGCGAAAGCGUGGGUAGCAAACAGGAUUAGAUACCCCAGUAGUC
Molecule: ribosomal RNA, 465 nt
Filed under: uncultured bacterium
Lineage: Bacteria
Description: partial 16S ribosomal RNA
Rfam family: Bacterial small subunit ribosomal RNA
Source: RNAcentral